Molecule: long non-coding RNA, 4369 nt
Organism: Nycticebus coucang (slow loris)
Lineage: Eukaryota; Metazoa; Chordata; Mammalia; Primates; Lorisidae
Exons: 6
Source: RefSeq, a predicted model, not a curated record
UGGAGCAACGUUUCUCUCUAGAGCUGGGCGCUGAGCUGGGGGCUCCUCUUCAGCUGUUCCGUUUCCUGGAGAUUCCAAGUGUCUCUGUAGCAGCCUCUUGCACCCUGUGACCUGCAGAUACUGGGAGAUCUGUAGGGAGGACAACGGGACAUCCUCGAAGCUUGGAAAAUAGUCUUGGUAUCUCUAAGCCAUCACUUAUCACCUCUCUGGAGAAAAGCAAAGAACCCUGGAAAGCAAAGAUACAACAGACAGUAGUCAAGUACCCAGGUUGAGAAGUUUCUGAUUCUAUACCUGGACUUGGUCCCCUGAAUCCUCCAGAGGGAAAGGAUAUACAGACAGAAAAGACUGGAAGUCCUCAAAGGAGUUCUUGUUGGAGGCUGCCUCCAGUCGGUCAUCUGCCUAGAAUCACCCCUGUGAGGAUACAGAGAGUCAGCGAGAGACUUCUGGACCCCAAGAAGAGGACUAAAACAGUGGAAAACCGGCAAGUGGUUGCAUGUGUUUAAUCAGUCUAAACCCGCCCACAACUAAAUUCUGAGUGUGCUACCAUGUCCUCUGUAUCCUUGUGACCAAGAAGUGCUGAAAAAUCUGAAAGGAGGAUGUUAGGACAACAUGGAAGCUGGGAUAUGCACCACCUAUUGAUGGAAGGAAGAACGAGUCCUUUAAAAGCCCCAGAGAAAUCCAGGACUUUGGGUAUAUGUUUGGAUUAUGUUUUCAGCCAGAAUGUUUUGAAGAGAAGAAAUUUAAAAUUGAAGAGCAUAUUUAUGAAUAUCAUCAAUUUGAUGACUCCUUCAUUCAAACUUUGUUAUUCUUCCACCAACAACCAUUACCUUCACAUGCCAAAAUCCACAACUGGAAUCAGUAUAGUAAGAUGUUUAUCCAAUAAUCAUUGCUUGAUCAUUAUCAGGGAUUAAAUAAUUAGGGAAAACAUUAAAUAUUCAGGAAAAUUUUGAUAAUUCUUUUUACAAAAUUUUACACUAAAUAAUUAUCUAGGUGAUUAUAUAAAUGAGAGAAUUACCAAUGUAAUGAACUUGAAAAGAUCCUGAUUGCUAUAUAGACUCGUACUCUAUAAAUGCCUAAAAGCUCAAUAUCCAGAGAUCCUGUGCAAAUGUAAGAAAUGUGAGAAAGUCUUUCAUCAAUGUUUGAAGCUUAUCAUCUGUGAUGAUACACAUAAGUGAGAGUGUGUAUUUCUACAUUUGCAUCGAAUAUGUGGAAGCUUUUCCCCAGUCAGGAAAUUCAUAUGGUAACAAAGUCAUACAGAUAGAAUACAUGCAAAAAUGCCUCAGUCUUCCAACCUAAGAAAUUACACAGUUCAUAGUGGAGAAAACCCCUACAAGUGUAAAGAAUGUGGCAAAGAUUUUAAUAAUUUUUUUAAACUUUAGAGAAAGAGUAUCAGAGGACUCACAGUGGAGAGAAACCCUACAAAUGUGAAGAAUGUGGUAAAGCCUUUAAAUGGGGCUCAACACUUACAAAACAUCAGAGAACUCAUGCUUUAGAGAAAUCCUACAAAUGUGAAGAAUGUGGCAAAUCCUUGAACAAGUUCUCAGCUUUUAUAGCACAUCAUACUGGAGAGAAACCUUACCAAUGUGAGGAAUGUGGCAAAGCUUUUUUUUUUUCUAGAGACGGAGUCUCACUAUGUCGCUCUCAGUAGAGUGCUAAGGCUUCUUAGCUCACAGCAACCUCCUGCUCCUGGGCUCAGGCAAUUCUCUUGCCUCAGCCUCCCAGUAGCUGGGACUACAGGCACUUACCACAAUGCCAGCCAUUUUUUAUUGCAGUUUGGCCAGGGUCGAGUUCGAACCCACCAACCUUAGUACAUGGGGCCAGCACCCUACUCACUGAGCCAGGCGUUGCUUUUAAAUGGUGCUCAGGUUUAACAGCACAUAAGAUAAUUCAUACUGGAGAGAAACCUUACAAAUGUAUGGAAUGUGGCAAAGCCUUUAAGCAGUGCUCAAAACUUAAACAAUAUCAGAGAAUUCACCCUGGAGAGAAAUCCUACAAAUGUGAGUAAUGUUUCAGUCUUUAAAUGCCUCUCAUAUCUUACAGCACACAAGAGAAUUUAUGUUAGAGAGAAACCAUACAAAUGUGAAUAAUUUGACAAAGCCUUUAACCAGUCCUCACAUCUUUCAGCACACAGGAGAAUUCGUAUAGGAGACAAUGCUUACAAAUGUGACGAAUGUCUCAAAGCCUUUAACUGGUGCUCAGUUUUUGCAGAACAUAAGAGAAUUCAUACUGGAGAGAAGCGUUACAAAUGUAAGGAAUGUGGCAAAGCCUUUAAAUCAUGUUCAGAUCUUACAACACAUAGAAGAAUUCAUACUGGAGAGAAAACCUUACAAUUAUGAAGAAUGUGACAACAUUUUUAACUGGUGCUCGCAUCUUACAGCUCACGAGAGAAGUCAUACUGAAGAGAAAACCCACAAAUGUGAAGAAUGUGGCAAAGCCUUUAAGCAGUGCUUGAAACUUAAAUGACAUCAGAGAAUUCACAAUGGAGAGAAAUCUUACAAAUGUGAAGAUUGUGGUAAAGCCUUUAAAUGGGGCUCAGUAGUUACAAUGAGAAUUGAUACUGGUGAGAAAUCCUACUAAUGUGAAGAAUGUGGCAAAGCCUUUAACUAGUGCUCAAUUGUUUCAAGGCACCAAUGAUUUCAUUCUGGAGAAAAACUCUACAAAUGUCAAGAAUUCAGCAAAGCCUUUAACCAGUACCCAAUCCUUUCUAGGCAUCAAAGAAUUCAUUCUGAAAUGAAACCCUACAAAUGUCAAGAAUGUGGCAAAGUCUUUAACCAAUACUCACACCUUUCUGGACAUAAAGGAAUUCAUUCUGGAGAGAAAACCCACAAUUGUAAAGAAUGUGGCAAAGACUUUAACAAUUGCUAAAACCUUACCCAACAUCAGAGAAUUCACACUGCCCAGAAUCUCUUUAAAUGUGAUGUAUGUGGGGAGGCCUUUAACUCUCACUUUAGUUUUAUAAACAUCAGAAGGUUCACACUAAAGAGAAACAAUACUAAUACGCAGAAUUUUGCACUUCCUUUUUAUAUCUGACUCACAUCAAAAAAACUCUAAUUUUGAGGAGAACCCCUAAAAAUUUGAGGAAUGUAGCAAAAUGUUUAACUGUCUUUCAAGGCUUAUUCAACAUCAGAAAAUGUGUAUCACAAAGAAACCAUAAGUACGUUAAGACUGGCCACAUAUUAUUAAAGUUCAGGCCAUAGACAAUAUCAGGAAAUUUAUAUGAAAGAGAAACUAUACGAAUGUAAAAAUAUCUGAACAUUUAUGCUACAGAAACCCUAUAGAUAUAAUACAAGUGAAAAGAGUUUUAUCCCAAAUACACAACUUGGACAUCAUUAGGGAGUUUGUACAAAGACAAACAUUUAACAAGUACAAUAAAUGUGCACAAGUAUUUAAUUAAAACUGAACUCUAAAUGCCUCUGAGGAUUCACACAAGUAAUAACUAAAGGAUGUUUUCAGACUUUAACUUAAAUUAGUUACUGUAGAGAAAAAUGUGAAGCCCGUUAAUUUCAUGUUAUUUUUUCAAAAGACCAAUAACUUUUAUGUUUUGCCAUGUAUAAUUAUUAGUAUAUUCAUGGAUGCUUUGCACUGAAAAUAUUUAAAAUUAUUCAAAAGUGGGCAUGACAGCAGGUCACACCUGUAAUCUUAGCACUGUGGGAGGUGGAGGUGGGUGGAUUGCUUGACCUUAUGUAUUCUAGACAAGCCUGAGCAAAAGAGUGAGACUCCCCAUAUACUAAAGUAAAAAAUUUUGAACAUUCUGACAGGUGCCUGUAGUCCCAGCUUGGAAGGCUUAGGCAAGAGGAUUGCUUGAUUCCAGGAGUUUGAGGUUGCUGUCAGUCAAAAUGCCAUGACACUACCCAAGUGACAGAGUGAGAUUCUGUCUCACACCCACAAAAAAAAUCCAGAAGCAAAUAUUGAUGUUAUUCAAUCCUCAUAUCAGUCAAUGCUAUAAAGUCAUUCCUAACAUGUAUAUGAAAAUAUGUGAUCUGUUGUUUCUUCCUUGGGGCUAUGUGUGGCCAUUUAAUGUUAUGUGAACAUGAUUAGUAUCAAUUUUUCCAUGGAAGAUCAAUGGUGAAUGUAAACUACACUAAGAAAAUGUAAAAAUUUUCUCAAUUUUUCUCAAUCCUCAGGAUAGCAAGAGGGACUUUGUCUAACAAUUGCAAUCAGUGUAGCCUGGCUUAUUGCACCAUCAAUGAAUCCCCAACAAUAAAAAAAAAAUGUUGGGGGGGCUUUGAACCAUAAAAGUGUGAUGCAUGUAAACAUACAAAGGGUAAUUUGGACAUUUUUCUCUGGAUUAAAGAGUAAAUCUUUCUAAAUUUUGAAAAUGCAUGGUUUUUCCACUUGUGUUUCAAGUAAAAAAAACAAAACAUAAAAA